This 448-nucleotide ribosomal RNA is filed under the name uncultured bacterium. RNAcentral describes it as "bacterial SSU rRNA". It matches the Rfam family "Bacterial small subunit ribosomal RNA", at positions 328 to 793 of the family's 1533-position model. The record is from RNAcentral.
ACUCCAGACUCCUACGGGAGGCAGCAGUGGGGAAUAUUGCACAAUGGGGGAAACCCUGAUGCAGCGACGCCGUGUGAGCGAUGAAGUAUUUCGGUAUGUAAAGCUCUAUCAGCAGGGAAGAAAAUGACGGUACCUGACUAAGAAGCCCCGGCUAACUACGUGCCAGCAGCCGCGGUAAUACGUAGGGGGCAAGCGUUAUCCGGAUUUACUGGGUGUAAAGGGAGCGUAGACGGCGAUGCAAGCCAGAUGUGAAAGCCCGGGGCUCAACCCCGGGACUGCAUUUGGAACUGUAUAGCUAGAGUGUCGGAGAGGCAGGCGGAAUUCCUAGUGUAGCGGUGAAAUGCGUAGAUAUUAGGAGGAACACCAGUGGCGAAGGCGGCCUGCUGGACGAUGACUGACGUUGAGGCUCGAAAGCGUGGGGAGCAAACAGGAUUAGAUACCCUCGUAG